Long non-coding RNA from Orcinus orca (killer whale), 2091 nucleotides. RefSeq lists it as uncharacterized. The transcript has 3 exons. Lineage: Eukaryota; Metazoa; Chordata; Mammalia; Artiodactyla; Delphinidae. The record is from RefSeq and is a predicted model, not a curated record.
AGGAGACGAGCGGCGUACGCGGGAGGCAGCUUUCUAGACCUUCAGGCGCCCGGAGACAAGCUGGAGGUAGCUGGCGGGAGGUGGCUGGCGGCAGGUAGCUGGAGGACCGCCCUUCCGGUACCCGUGGAGCUGGUGUUCUCCCUGCCAGGCCCGGGAGUGCGCACGUUCCUGACCCAGUCUGGCCUGGCUCGGGCUGGCAGCCAAAUCCGCCUCUGCGCACGGGUAGUGAGUCCUCGGCCAGGACGCGCAGCUCCGGAGCCCGCGCGGACGACCUUGACCAUCUCGGCCGGCUGUUUCCCCCGAGAGAAAUGACAGGAAUCUCUAAAGAGUGAGAGGAAAACUGAUGACAGGCACUGCCCAAAGAAGAUGGAACUGUCAUAGUUGGCACGCAGUGGCCACUAAAGCCACAGGAAGAUAAUAUCACCCAAGGAAAGGAGAAGAGGGCCUCGGACAGCAGCUUUAGGAACACCAGCAUUUCAGGGCUGGAAAGAGAACGAGAAGACUCCCCAAAAAAGAUUCACAGGAAGGAGGAGGAAAACAAUGAGAGGUGAUGUAAUUUGCCCAUGUUCACAAAGCUAGUAAGUGGCAAACUUAGAAUUCAAAAUGUCUCUAUCAUCCCAAAGCCACAUUCUUGACCUCAACAUGUCUUAAAUAUUGUUUUCCCUUACUGCCUGGUGACGUAAAAGUUUUAUUUAUACGUUUUUCCAGGGGUUCAUUUAUAUAACAGCAACAACAAAUUUGUCAUGGAAUUUGUUCAGUGCAUCCUUGAGUUGCAUUAAGGAAGCAAACUCAUGAAACAUGCUUGUAGCGGCCUCCUCAUGGCUCUCCUUGUGUGCCCUGGCAAAUCUUUGGCUGGGACAUGCUCUCCUUCUACCCAAGAAUGCCCCCUAGGACAUAGCCAUGCACAGUUCAUUGGCAGAUGCUUAGGAUUUCUCUUCAGAAGUCCUUCCACGUGGCACAAGGGGCACGUACAAAUCCAGGAACCACUCUGGGUAUCCAUAAAUAAGUGCAGGAUAUACAACAGUUCAGAAGUUAUAAAGUAAAAAUAAAUUAUUAAAUCCCCCUGUCUCCCCAACCUCAUUGCCUAUAACCCAUUCCCAGAAAUACCAUUGUUAACAAUUUAGUAUAUAUCCUUAAAUGCAUUUUCUACACGUAUAUAAAUAAGUUUUUUAAUGAAAGGGGUCAUAUUAUCUGUAUUGUUCUGAGACUUGCUGUUUAAACUACAAAGUGGCCAUCUCUUCACAUCAGUGUAUGUAGAUUUACUACUUCAUUCUUACCGCAUACCAGUCCACAUUAUGAAGGUGCCAUUAUUGCUUUAAUCAAAUCCUCUAUUGAUGGCCAUUUGUGUUGUUUCUAGGUUUGUUUUGUUUUGUUUUCAGGACGCUUUGCUUCUGCAGAGUGUGAGGGGCCCAAAAAAAUGUUGUUUGGGCUCAAUUUUGGACCAAACAUUUUUCUGAAUUUGCCAUUGUUUGUCCUUAACUUUCUUCCCUUUUUGAGCUUGUUGGCUGUUUCCCUCCUGCUGUUCCCUCUAAUCUCACUAAUACUCAGUUCAAGGUAUGUUUGUUGCUUUAAAGAUCUCCUUACAAAAUCUAGGACUCUUUGGAGGAGGUGUGUUCAGCAAAUAAACAAACUACUAUCCUGACUUUACAUUCUUAUUCUAGAGGAUUUCGGAGACGCUGGAAGAAGUUCUCCUGUUAUCUGGGAAUCAGCUUAAAAGCCUCAAGUUAUGUUUAAACUGUGCUUCUCAUUUCCUUUUUAACAGUAUCAUAGAUAAAGAUUGACUGAAUAUGUUUAAACUGAAGGCAUAGCCUAUAACUUCAAAGAGUUUACUGGCUCCUGCAGUCUACUGGGAGGCAAAAUUAGUGUAAGGGAAACAAUUGGAGAGCAGUUGAGUAUUAAUUAUGUGUUACAAGCCCUUGGGCACCAAAAGUUCAGGGAGGAGAAAGCUGGAGGAGUUCUCUGCGCCUCCAAGGGGAAGGUGGAACUUGAGCUGAGUUAGAAAGCAGGAGGUAACUUUCGGAGAAUUUUAGGCAGAAGUUGGAAGGCGUUUCAAGUACAGGGUAAAUUUUCAUACCUUUUUAUUAUCUGAAA